GUGCCAGCAGCCGCGGUAACACCGGCGGCUCGAGUGGUAACCGUUAUUAUUGGGUCUAAAGGGUCUGUAGCCGGCCGGAUAAGUCUCUUGAGAAAUCUGGCAGCUUAACUGUCAGGCUUUCAGGAGAUACUGUCUGGCUCGAGGCCGGGAGAGGUGAGAGGUACUUCAGGGGUAGGGGUGAAAUCUUGUAAUCCUUGAAGGACCACCAGUGGCGAAGGCGUCUCACCAGAACGGACCUGACGGCAAGGGACGAAAGCUAGGGGCACGAACCGGAUUAGAUACCCGGGUAGUCCUAGCCGUAAACGAUACUCGCUAGGUGUCGGCCACGGUGCGACCGUUGUCGGUGCCGUAGGGAAGCCGUGAAGCGAGCCACCUGGGAAGUACGGCCGCAAGGCUGAAACUUAAAGGAAUUGGCGGGGGAGCACCACAACGGGUGGAGCUUGCGGUUUAAUUGGAUUCAACGCCGGAAAUCUUACCGGGACCGACAGCAAUAUGAAGGCCAGGCUGAAGACUUUGCCGGAUUAGCUGAGAGGUGGUGCAUGGCCGUCGUCAGUUCGUACUGUGAAGCAUCCUGUUAAGUCAGGCAACGAGCGAGACCCACGCCCACAGUUGCCAGCGUACUCUCUGGAGUGACGGGUACACUUGUGGGGACCGCC
Molecule: ribosomal RNA, 656 nt
Filed under: uncultured archaeon
Lineage: Archaea
Description: bacterial SSU rRNA
Rfam family: Archaeal small subunit ribosomal RNA
Source: RNAcentral